RNAcentral lists this unclassified non-coding RNA (324 nucleotides) under soil metagenome. RNAcentral describes it as "partial contains 5.8S ribosomal RNA, internal transcribed spacer 2, and large subunit ribosomal RNA". The stretch from base 1 to 120 matches the Rfam family "5.8S ribosomal RNA", at positions 35 to 154 of the family's 154-position model. The record is from RNAcentral.
GAUGAAGAACGUAGCGAAAUGCGAUAAGUAAUGUGAAUUGCAGAAUUCAGUGAAUCAUCGAAUCUUUGAACGCACAUUGCGCCCCUUGGUAUUCCGAGGGGCAUGCCUGUUCGAGCGUCAUAUUAACCACUCCCGCUUGCGGGGUCUUGGGCUUCGCCUCCGGGCGGGCCUUAAAAUCAGUGGCGGUGCCGUCGGGCUCUACGCGUAGUAAAUUUUCUCGCGAUAGGGUCCCGGUGGAUGCUUGCCAACAACCCCCAACUUCUUAAGGUUGACCUCGGAUCAGGUAGGGAUACCCGCUGAACUUAAGCAUAUCAAUAGCGGAGG